This 363-nucleotide ribosomal RNA is filed under the name uncultured fungus. RNAcentral describes it as "LSU rRNA". It matches the Rfam family "Eukaryotic large subunit ribosomal RNA", at positions 65 to 424 of the family's 3401-position model. Lineage: Eukaryota; Fungi. The record is from RNAcentral.
CCAACAGGGAUUGCCUCAGUUACGGCGAGUGAAGCGGCAAGAGCUCAGAUUUGAAAUCAGUUGCGUUCGCGCUUCCGAGUUGUAAUCUGGAGAGGAGACUUCGGGGCGAACGCCGGUCCAUGUUCCUUGGGACAGGACGUCAUAGAGGGUGAGGAUCCCGUGAUCGGCUGGCGGCUCAAACCUUGUGAAGCUCCUUCGACGAGUCGAGUUGUUUGGGAAUGCAGCUCAAACUGGGUGGUAAAUUCCAUCAAAAGCUAAAUACCGGCGAGAGACCGAUAGCGCACAAGUAGAGUGAUCGAAAGAUGAAAAGCACUUUGAAAAGAGAGUUAAACAGUACGUGAAAUUGUUGAAAGGGAAGCGCUU